GACGAACGCUGGCGGCGUGCCUAAUACAUGCAAGUCGAGCGAAGUUUUUCUGGUGCUUGCACUAGAAAAACUUAGCGGCGAACGGGUGAGUAACACGUAAAGAACCUGCCUCAUAGACUGGGACAACUAUUGGAAACGAUAGCUAAUACCGGAUAACAGCAUUAACUGCAUGGUUGAUGUUUAAAAGUUGGUUUUGCUAACACUAUGAGAUGGCUUUGCGGUGCAUUAGCUAGUUGGUGGGGUAAAGGCCUACCAAGGCGACGAUGCAUAGCCGACCUGAGAGGGUGAUCGGCCACACUGGGACUGAGACACGGCCCAGACUCCUACGGGAGGCAGCAGUAGGGAAUCUUCCGCAAUGGGCGAAAGCCUGACGGAGCAACGCCGCGUGAGUGAAGAAGGAUUUCGGUUCGUAAAGCUCUGUUGUUAGGGAAGAAUGAUUGUGUAGUAACUAUACACAGUAGAGACGGAACCUAAACAGAAAGCCACGGCUAACUACGUG
RNAcentral lists this ribosomal RNA (499 nucleotides) under uncultured bacterium. RNAcentral's name for it is "partial 16S ribosomal RNA". It matches the Rfam family "Bacterial small subunit ribosomal RNA", at positions 28 to 507 of the family's 1533-position model. The record is from RNAcentral.